Molecule: long non-coding RNA, 3184 nt
Organism: Cannabis sativa
Lineage: Eukaryota; Viridiplantae; Streptophyta; Magnoliopsida; Rosales; Cannabaceae
Exons: 3
Source: RefSeq, a predicted model, not a curated record
UCCAAAUGAACCUAGGUGAAAAUGUAAUUAUUGCAAGAAAGACUAUGCUUGUCAUAGUACUAGAGUAGGAACAAGCAGUAUGUGGAGUCAUUUGAAUAAUCAAUGUAAGAAAUAUUCAUUUAGGGUAUCUGAUAAGAAACAAAAGUUAUUGAGUUUUCAAAAUAGUAAUGAGGGUGGUGGAAAUUUGUUGGCAGUGGCCUUUAAUAAGGAGAAUUGUCGAAAAGCACUAGCUAAGAUGGUAGUGUUAAAUGAACAUGCAUUUAAAGUUGUGGAAAGUGAAGGUUUUAAACAUCUCAUGAAAGUAGUGCAACCUAGAUUUGUUGUUCCUGGCAAAAUGACAGUUGCUACAGAUAUAUACCAACUUUAUUUGGAUGAAAAAUUAAAACUAAAAGAGGAGUUGAUCAAGAUGGAUCAAAGAGUGUGUUUAACAACAAAUUCCUCAUAUGUGUCUAACAGCACACUACAUUGAUAGUAAUUGGUGUUUGUAAAAAGAAAUCAUAAGUUUUUGUCAAAUUCCAAACCAUAAAGGAGAUACCAUUGGUAAGAUGAUUGAAUCGUGUUUGCUUAGCUAGGGAAUAGAGAAGGUGUUUGUUGUGACUGUAGACAAUGCAUCGGCUAAUGAUGUAGUUGUUAAUCUUGUUAAGAGGAGAGUCAAUGCAUGGAAAGGGUCUGUUCUUGAUGGUGAUUUUAUGCAUUUUAGGUGUUGUGCUCACAUAGUGAAUUUAAUUGUGAAUGAGGGCCUAAAAGAUUUGCAUGAUUCAAUUGCUGCUAUUCAUAAUAUUAUGAGGUACAUUCGGUCAUCUCCUGCGCGAUUGGGAAAAUUAAUGAACGUGCUGAGAGAGAAAAGAUUGAUUAUAAAGGGGGUUGGAUUUUAGAUGUGCCUACAAGGUGGAACUCAACUUUUAUGAUGCUAGAUGUUGCUAUUAUUUUUGAGAAAGCAUUUUCAAGGUAUGACGAGGAAGAUGAUAGAUUCUUGAGUUACUUCAAUGAAAAUGAAAGUGGGAAGAAGAGAGUUGGACCGCCUACUAGUACUGAUUAGGAGAGUGCUAAGAUAUUUGUCAAGUUUCUACGCACUUUUUAUGAAGUCACACUAAAGUUUAGUGGUACCUUACAUGUUACAUCAAACACAUUUUAUCAUGAAAUUUGUGAAAUUCACACUCAAUUGUCUGAUUUUGCCUCAAGUGAUGAACAUUUGUUAUCUGUAAUGGCAGCCAAUAUGAAAAGAAAGUAUGACAAAUAUUGGGGGAUGUAGAAAACAUCAAUGUUAUGAUGUUUGUUGCUGUUGUGCUUGAUCCUAGGUAUAAGAUGAAGUAUCUUAAAUAUUGUUUUGAGAGUGUUUAUAAUACUGAAAUUGUUACAAAGAUUGUGCUCAAGGUGGAGCAAACCCUUCAACGUUUGUAUACUUGCUAUAGUAUGGAGAACAAAUCUAAGAUUGACGGUGAAAAAUACAAUAGUAGUGUAUCACCACCAAAGAGUGAGAUCAAGCACAUUCAUAAAAGAAAAUUAUUAUCUCUAUAUCUGCAACAAGAAGUGAUGAAGUGUUUGAGUGAGAAAAUGAAUGAUAUUAAGAGGUAUUUGAGAGAUGAGGUCGUUGAUCCAAUAACUUCUUCAUUUGAUAUCCUUACUUGGUGGAAGGAUAAUGCUAGGAGGUACAAUGUUUUGUCAUUGAUUGCAAGAGAUAUCCUUGCUAUUCCUAUUUAUACUGUGGCCUCUAAAUCUACUUUCCUAUUUCUACUGUGGCCUCAAAAUCAACUUUUAGUACUAGUGGUCGUAUUUUAGACUCAUUUAGAAGUUCUUUGAGUCCAAAUAUGCUAGAGGCACUAGUUUGCACUCAGAAUUGGUUGAAGGAAUCACAUGAAGGCAUUCAAGUUGAGAAAUACUUGGAUGACAUUCAAGCUUAUGACUUUCUUGAAGAAGAUAAUUCAGAUAAAGGAAACGUAAUACUAAAGGAGAAGAAGAAAAUUGAAACUGUGGUCGUUGACUAAGGAAUUAUAAGGUCAAUUUCUGGAGUGGAUGAAUCAUGAAGCUAGUUUAUUUAUCUUUUGAACUUUAUUUUUUCUUCAAAACUUUAGAAUUUCUAUUGUGAACAACUUUAUUUUUAUUGUGGAGACUUGAGAACUUUAACAUUCGCCAUUUAUAUUUUUAGUUUAUGGUUAACUACAAAUGAUAAGUUUGGUUUGAAUAUAUUAUUAUCUUAUGAUGCAUGCACCUAAAUCUAUUGUUAGGAUACAUAAGGUUUAAUAAUGCUAUCAUUUUCAUAGGCUUUAAUAGUAAUUACUUCUUAAUAUCUCACCAAUGAUCCAAAAAAUUUUUAAAUCAAACUUCGUACAAUUAACUUUAUCAUUUUCGUAAUAUAAAUAUUAAAGUCCAAAAUAUGAAUCCCAACCCAACCCUUAUAUCAUUAUAGUAAGUAGGGUUGGGAUGUACAAUUAAAAAAAAAAGUGAAUGGUUCAUAGUUUUUCCAAACCGCAGUUAUUGGGUUGGCCCAUUAAAACAUCUCCAACCCAGCCAACCCAGCCCAUGUGCAACCCUAAUCCCAAAUACUAGUAGUGUUCAAAAAUAGAGGGCUUAUGGACAAAAAUACGAACAUGAAGGCCGUAAGGCUGAAAAUAAAGUAAUGUUCUAAAAGGCCUCAGGCCACAUAGGACAUGAAAGUAUUGUUCUAAGAAAACCUCAAGCCACAUACGACAUGAAAGUAAAGUUCCAAAAAGGCCUAAAUGAAACAUAAAAGUGAGUAAUUUCUAAAAGCAAAAAUGGCACAAGUCAUAAAACGACACAGGCUAUGCAGAACAUGAAAACAUUAUCUAUGUGAUACAAAUAUGAUUCUGAAUAUUACUAAUAAAAAUAUUGUCUAAAUGUGUGUAGGGGCAGAAGGAGCUGAAUCUGGAGCUACAAGAUCAAUAUCCACAGAGUCCUAGCCGACCCCAGCAUUAGCAUGCUGGCUGGCCUAGUGGUCAAUGUCUUGGCCGACCACCUACUCAACAGGUGGGUCGGCCAACUCCUUGUCGUUUGUCCUUAAUAAUGAGCCUCUCGAUAGGUAGCAACCUUGUUUUUCUCCAUGUGGCUCUCUAAUAGUGCCUUUCCAUAGGCCAACAUUCUCUCCACAAAAGCCAUAUUGCCCAUGUAUGAUAGUCUAGCACGAGGGUUGUGCAACUGGAACUCAUAGGUAUGUUCAGAGGAUAGG